This 189-nucleotide microRNA precursor is filed under the name Oryza meridionalis. Its description in RNAcentral is "MIR812 microRNA precursor family". It matches the Rfam family "MIR812 microRNA precursor family". The record is from Rfam by way of RNAcentral. Lineage: Eukaryota; Viridiplantae; Streptophyta; Magnoliopsida; Poales; Poaceae.
UUUAAAAGUAACCAUGAAUUUUCGUAUUCAAUUUUCAUUGUCCGUCUUAUUUAAAUAUUUUUAUAAUUAAUAAAUUUGUUGUUAUUACAUGAUAAAACAUAAAUAGUACUCUAUGCGUGAUUUGUGUUUUUUUAAUCUUUUUCAUAUAUUUUUGAAAUAAGACGGUGUUGAACACAAAAAUUUAUGGCU